UUUAAUGACAUUUUUUUUAUGGCAUUUUAGCAAAAACGUCAUUAAAAAGUAUUUUAAUGACGUUUUCAGGUUAAAACGCCAUGAAUAAUUUGAUAGUGAAAAAUUUAUGACACUUUUGAAACGCCAUAAAAACUUUUAAAUACCAUGACGUUUUAUAAAUGCCAUCAAAAAAAAAUAGACGGCGUCUGUUAGACGCCAUAAUUAUAGGCGAAAUCCAUGGCGUUUGUAAACGUCAUACUUAAGAAACUUUAAUUUUUUCAAUUUGCCCGCCCGCGCCUAGCCUAUUUUUCUGUUCAGUUUCACACAUCCCAAUUAACUUUAAUUUUAUUUUUCUUCUAUUUUCUUCUCGUUCUCUCUCUCUCUCUCUCGCUCCCACCCACCCUCUAUCCCUUUUCUUCUCGAUCUGAAGCAAGAAGCAGAAACAACUGGAUUUUUAACCUCGGUCUUUUCCAUUCACUUUAUCGUCUCUUUCUUCCUGAACAUGCUACGGCAAGGCCGAUCCCCAUAUCAAGUCAACGUUCUUUUGCAACAAGAAGAAGAAGAGGCUGAGUUGCUCUCUAUCGAAAUUUCACAGGUAUCAAAGAGCCAAACCCAUAAUUAUGUUGUAUAUGACAAAGAAAGCUAAUGCUUUUUGGGUUACACAGCGCAUGACUGUGCUAGCAGUUUUCAAGCUUUUUACAGAUGACUUAAUCAUCUCUAACUUGUCAUGUAUUGAGUCGAUCUCUGAAGUUCCACACUUCCAAGGAUUGAAAGCUGUUGAAUUUUUCUAUAGGUCAUUCAAGUGCUCAUCCAUGAAUCUUAGGAUGGUGAAAAAUGGAAUUAGAUGCCCAACUGCAUCUGAUCUUUUACCCAAAAAAAUAAUACUUGUGAUUUGAACCAUAAAAAGGAAGUCAUUCUAUCUUUUGCUCUGCCUCUGAAUGCUGGCUCUAUUGCUGACUGUCUUCAAUGAAUCGCUUGCAAUAACAGAAACACAAGCACAUGGGGCUGAAAGCUGUCAUUGGAUUUGGCUAUAUUUCCUAUAAAAUUUUUGAUGGACGAGUUGCUAAACUCCACCACUUCCAAUGGCAGCAGUUGCUAAUCACCACCACUUCCAAUAUACUCUGGUUUAGCUAGGCUAAAGCAACAUGUGUCAUCUUUUUUCUCUCUUCUUUCUCUUAGCUUACAUAUAUGUUAUGUGUAGAUUACAUUGAUGGAAAUAUUGUAGAUUGGGUAUUUCUUCUUUUGUUAAUUCAAUGGUACAUAGUAAUAGAGUUUUGUUA
Long non-coding RNA from Rosa rugosa (rugosa rose), 1259 nucleotides. RefSeq lists it as uncharacterized. The record is from RefSeq and is a predicted model, not a curated record. The transcript is spliced from 5 exons. NCBI's taxonomy places the organism in Eukaryota, Viridiplantae, Streptophyta, Magnoliopsida, Rosales, Rosaceae.